GAUGAACGCUGGCGGCGUGCUUAACACAUGCAAGUCGAACGAAGCACCUUGAUUUGAUUCUUCGGAUGAAGAUCUUGGUGACUGAGUGGCGGACGGGUGAGUAACGCGUGGGUAACCUGCCUCAUACAGGGGGAUAACAGUUAGAAAUGACUGCUAAUACCGCAUAAGACCACAGCACCGCAUGGUGCAGGGGUAAAAACUCCGGUGGUAUGAGAUGGACCCGCGGCAGAUUGGUAGUGGGUGGGGUAACCGCCUACCAAGCAUACGAUCAGGAGCCGACCUGAGAGGGUGACCGGACACAUUGGGACUGAGACACGGCCCAAACUCCUACGGGAGGCAGCAGUGGGGAAUAUUGCACAAUGGGGGAAACCCUGAUGCAGCGACGCCGCGUGAGCGAUGAAGUAUUUCGGUAUGUAAAGCUCUAUCAGCAGGGAAGAAAAUGACGGUACCUGACUAAGAAGCACCGGCUAAAUACGUGCCAGCCGCCGCCGUAA
Molecule: ribosomal RNA, 494 nt
Filed under: uncultured bacterium
Lineage: Bacteria
Description: partial 16S ribosomal RNA
Rfam family: Bacterial small subunit ribosomal RNA
Source: RNAcentral